Molecule: ribosomal RNA, 469 nt
Filed under: Lacticaseibacillus paracasei
Lineage: Bacteria; Bacillati; Bacillota; Bacilli; Lactobacillales; Lactobacillaceae
Description: bacterial SSU rRNA
Rfam family: Bacterial small subunit ribosomal RNA
Source: RNAcentral
GAUGAACGCUGGCGGCGUGCCUAAUACAUGCAAGUCGAACGAGUUCUCGUUGAUGAUCGGCGCUUGCACCGAGAUUCAACAUGGAACGAGUGGCGGACGGGUGAGUAACACGUGGGUAACCUGCCCUUAAGUGGGGGAUAACAUUUGGAAACAGAUGCUAAUACCGCAUAGAUCCAAGAACCGCAUGGUUCUUGGCUGAAAGAUGGCGUAAGCUAUCGCUUUUGGAUGGACCCGCGGCGUAUUAGCUAGUUGGUGAGGUAAUGGCUCACCAAGGCGAUGAUACGUAGCCGAACUGAGAGGUUGAUCGGCCACAUUGGGACUGAGACACGGCCCAAACUCCUACGGGAGGCAGCAGUAGGGAAUCUUCCACAGUGGACGCAAGUCUGAUGGAGCAACGCCGCGUGAGUGAAGAAGGCUUUCGGGUCGUAAAACUCUGUUGUUGGAGAAGAAGGUCGGCAGAGUAACUGUU